This 349-nucleotide transfer-messenger RNA is filed under the name Peptococcaceae bacterium. It matches the Rfam family "transfer-messenger RNA". Rfam says of the family: Bacterial tmRNA, also known as 10Sa RNA or SsrA, is named for its dual tRNA and mRNA-like properties. Its role is to liberate the mRNA from a stalled ribosome. The record is from RNAcentral. Lineage: Bacteria; Bacillati; Bacillota; Clostridia; Eubacteriales; Peptococcaceae.
GGGGCUGUACUGGCUUCGACGGGAGAUGACGAUUUCUUUGUAAGCGUAUCAAGUUCGCCCGGCCUUGUAAAAACGAGCAACUUAAAUUUAAACGCUAAAAACGAAAAUUUAGCUUUUGCAGCGUAAGCUGUAAACUUCCUACCUGCUGCGCCUGAGGUGCGGGAUAGGGAGCCAAAUCAUCAGGCUACCGACGACCGAUUGAGAAAUACGCCGCCGGGAAACCAAUUUCUCUCGCAGUGAGCAAGUAUGAUUGUGGACGUGCCAGCUGUUAAAUCAAAACACAAUCUACAUACGUAGAAAGCUUAGCGGUCGGUCUUUCGGACAGGGGUUCGACUCCCCUCAGCUCCAG